UACGUAGGGUCCGAGCGUUGUCCGGAAUUAUUGGGCGUAAAGAGCACGCAGGCGGUUUGUCAAGUCGGAUGUGAAAACCCGAAGCUCAACUUCGGGCCUGCAUCCGAAACUGCCCGACUAGAGGUAGGUAGGGGAGAUCGGAAUUCCUGGUGUAGCGGUGAAAUGCGCAGAUAUCAGGAGGAACACCGGUGGCGAAGGCGGAUCUCUGGGCCUUACCUGACGCUCAGGUGCGAAAGCUAGGGGAGCGAACAGG
Molecule: ribosomal RNA, 253 nt
Filed under: uncultured bacterium
Lineage: Bacteria
Description: partial 16S ribosomal RNA
Rfam family: Bacterial small subunit ribosomal RNA
Source: RNAcentral